CGCGUAGGCGGCUGGGUAAGUCAAAGGUGAAAUCCCUCGGCUCAACCGAGGAACUGCCUUUGAAACUGCCCGGCUUGAGGCCGGGAGAGGGUAGUGGAAUUCCCAGUGUAGCGGUGAAAUGCGUAGAUAUUGGGAGGAACACCGGUGGCGAAGGCGGCUACCUGGACCGGUUCUGACGCUGAGGCGCGAAAGCGUGGGGAGCAAACA
Molecule: ribosomal RNA, 207 nt
Filed under: uncultured Acidobacteriota bacterium
Lineage: Bacteria; Pseudomonadati; Acidobacteriota
Description: uncultured Acidobacteria bacterium partial 16S ribosomal RNA
Rfam family: Bacterial small subunit ribosomal RNA
Source: RNAcentral